CCUACGGGUGGCUGUAGUGGGGAAUUUUGGACAAUGGGGGCAACCCUGAUCCAGCCAUGCCGCGUGCGGGAAGAAGGCCUUCGGGUUGUAAACCGCUUUCGGCCGGAACGAAAUCGCCGGGGAGAACAUCCCCGGUGGAUGACGGUACCGGAAGAAGAAGCACCGGCUAACUACGUGCAAGCAGCCGCGGUAAUACGUAGGGUGCGUGCGGGGCUCGGAAUGACCGGGGGCGGUUCGCUAGCAGGCGGUUGAAAUCCCCGGGCUUAACCUGGGAACUGCGUUUGUGACUGGCGGGCUGGAGUGCGGAAGAGGGAGGUGGAAUUCCACGUGUAGCAGUGAAAUGCGUAGAGAUGUGGAGGAACACCGAUGGCGAAGGCAGCCUCCUGGUCUAGCACUGACGCUCAUGCACGAAAGCGUGGGGAGCAAACAGGAUUAGAUACCCCAGUAGUC
Molecule: ribosomal RNA, 450 nt
Filed under: uncultured bacterium
Lineage: Bacteria
Description: partial 16S ribosomal RNA
Rfam family: Bacterial small subunit ribosomal RNA
Source: RNAcentral